AAAAGUCAAUGCGGUGAGACAUUUAAAGUACCCGUACAUUCCAGUGUAGAAAGUGACUACACAUUUAAACAAGAAACUGAUUCAAGAAUGUGAAAGGAGAAU
This 102-nucleotide non-coding RNA is filed under the name unclassified sequences. Its description in RNAcentral is "GP20-a RNA". It matches the Rfam family "GP20-a RNA". From Rfam's summary of the family: gut metagenomes. The record is from RNAcentral.